UUAUUAGAGAGACACAGAGAA
Molecule: non-coding RNA, 21 nt
Filed under: Caenorhabditis elegans
Lineage: Eukaryota; Metazoa; Nematoda; Chromadorea; Rhabditida; Rhabditidae
Source: RNAcentral